RNAcentral lists this ribosomal RNA (427 nucleotides) under uncultured bacterium. Its description in RNAcentral is "bacterial SSU rRNA". It matches the Rfam family "Bacterial small subunit ribosomal RNA", at positions 354 to 796 of the family's 1533-position model. The record is from RNAcentral.
GUGGGGAAUAUUGCGCAAUGGGGGCAACCCUGACGCAGCAAUACCGCGUGAGUGAAGAAGGUUUUCGGAUCGUAAAGCUCUGUUAUUGGGGAAGAAGAAGUGACGGUACCCAAUGAGGAAGUCCCGGCUAAUUACGUGCCAGCAGCCGCGGUAAUACGUAAGGGACGAGCGUUGUCCGGAAUCACUGGGCGUAAAGGGCGCGUAGGCGGUUUUAUAAGUCAGAUGUGAAAGGUACCGGCUCAACCGGUGACGUGCAUUUGAAACUGUAAGACUUGAGUACUGAAGAGGCAAGCGGAAUUCCUAGUGUAGCGGUGAAAUGCGUAGAUAUUAGGAAGAACACCGGUGGCGAAGGCGGCUUGCUGGGCAGAUACUGACGCUGAGGUGCGAAAGCAUGGGGAGCGAACAGGAUUAGAAACCCUAGUAGUCC